CGGUUUGAUCCUGGCUGAGGCCAUUGCUAUCGGAGUCCGAUUUAGCCAUGCUAGUUGCACGAGUUCAUACUCGUGGCGGAUAGCUCAGUAACACGUGGCCAAGCUACCCUAUGGAGAGGGAUAACCCCGGGAAACUGGGGCUAAUACCUCAUAACGCUCCCCCACUGGAAUGUGGGGAGCCGGAAAUGCUCCGGCGCCAUAGGAUGCGGCUGCGGUCGAUUAGGUAGACGGUGGGGUAACGGCCCACCGUGCCGAUAAUCGGUACGGGUCGUGAGAGCGAGUGCCCGGAGAUGGAUUCUGAGACAAGAAUCCAGGCCCUACGGGGCGCAGCAGGCGCGAAACCUUUACACUGCACGCAAGUGCGAUAAGGGGACUCCGAGUGCGUGGGCAUAGAGCCCUCGCUUUUCUGGACCGUAAGGUGGUCCAGGAACAAGGGCUGGGCAAGACCGGUGCCAGCCGCCGCGGUAACACCGGCAGCCCGAGUGAUGGCCGCUAUUAUUGGGCCUAAAGCGUCCGUAGCCGGCCGAGUAAGUCCGUCGGGAAAUCCACUCGCCUAACGAGUGGGCGUCCGGCGGAAACUGCUCGGCUUGGGACCGGGAGACCUGAGGGGUACGUCCGGGGUAGGAGUGAAAUCCUGUAAUCCUGGACGGACCACCGGUGGCGAAAGCGCCUCAGGAGAACGGAUCCGACGGUGAGGGACGAAAGCUAGGGUCUCGAACCGGAUUAGAUACCCGGGUAGUCCUAGCUGUAAACGAUGCUCGCUAGGUGUGACGCAGGCUACGAGCCUGCGUUGUGCCGUAGGGAAGCCGUGAAGCGAGCCGCCUGGGAAGUACGUCUGCAAGGAUGAAACUUAAAGGAAUUGGCGGGGGAGCACUACAACCGGAGGAGCCUGCGGUUUAAUUGGACUCAACGCCGGACAUCUCACCAGCACCGACAGUAAUCAUGACAGUCAGGUUGAUGACCUUACUCGAGUUACUGAGAGGAGGUGCAUGGCCGCCGUCAGCUCGUACCGUGAGGCGUCCUGUUAAGUCAGGCAACGAGCGAGACCCA
This 1050-nucleotide ribosomal RNA is filed under the name uncultured archaeon. RNAcentral describes it as "partial 16S ribosomal RNA". It matches the Rfam family "Archaeal small subunit ribosomal RNA", at positions 4 to 1054 of the family's 1478-position model. The record is from RNAcentral.